This 85-nucleotide non-coding RNA is filed under the name uncultured Agathobaculum sp. RNAcentral's name for it is "Cyclic di-GMP-I riboswitch". It matches the Rfam family "c-di-GMP-I riboswitch aptamer". From Rfam's summary of the family: GEMM was predicted in a large-scale screen for bacterial structured RNA regulatory elements. Genes associated with GEMM are involved in a diverse array of functions, including chemotaxis regulation, signal transduction, secretion and chitin. The record is from RNAcentral. Lineage: Bacteria; Bacillati; Bacillota; Clostridia; Eubacteriales; Butyricicoccaceae.
CAGAAAAAGGCACAGCCGGCGAAAGCCGGUGCCGCAAAGCCACAGGGUCUAAACGGACUUUUCCGCACGACAGCCGGUUGCCGAA